CCUACGGGUGGCAGCAGUGAGGAAUAUUGGUCAAUGGACGAGAGUCUGAACCAGCCAAGUAGCGUGAAGGAUGACUGCCCUAUGGGUUGUAAACUUCUUUUAUAUGGGAAUAAAAUGUUCCACGUGUGGGAUUUUGUAUGUACCAUAUGAAUAAGGAUCGGCUAACUCCGUGCCAGCAGCCGCGGUAAUACGGAGGAUCCGAGCGUUAUCCGGAUUUAUUGGGUUUAAAGGGAGCGUAGGUGGAUUGUUAAGUCAGUUGUGAAAGUUUGCGGCUCAACCGUAAAAUUGCAGUUGAAACUGGCAGUCUUGAGUACAGUAGAGGUGGGCGGAAGUCGUGGUGUAGCGGUGAAAUGCUUAGAUAUCACGAAGAACUCCGAUGGCGAAGGCAGUUCACUGAACUGCAACUGACACUGAGGCUCGAAAGUGUGGGUAUCAAACAGGAUUAGAUACCCCUGUAGUC
This 460-nucleotide ribosomal RNA is filed under the name uncultured bacterium. RNAcentral's name for it is "partial 16S ribosomal RNA". It matches the Rfam family "Bacterial small subunit ribosomal RNA", at positions 338 to 795 of the family's 1533-position model. The record is from RNAcentral.